UACGAAGGGGGCUAGCGUUGUUCGGAUUUAUUGGGCGUAAAGGGUGCGUAGGCGGCGGAGUAAGUUGGGUGUGAAAUCCCGGGGCUUAACCUCGGAAUUGCAUUCAAUACUGCUUCGCUUGAGUACUGGAGAGGAGGCUGGAAUUUACGGUGUAGCAGUGAAAUGCGUAGAUAUCGUAAGGAAGGCCGGUGGCGAAAGCGAGCCUCUGGACAGUUACUGACGCUGAUGCACGAAGGCCAGGGGAGCAAACGGG
RNAcentral lists this ribosomal RNA (253 nucleotides) under uncultured bacterium. RNAcentral describes it as "partial 16S ribosomal RNA". It matches the Rfam family "Bacterial small subunit ribosomal RNA", at positions 524 to 776 of the family's 1533-position model. The record is from RNAcentral.